MicroRNA precursor from Callithrix jacchus (white-tufted-ear marmoset), 89 nucleotides. The record is from Ensembl. Lineage: Eukaryota; Metazoa; Chordata; Mammalia; Primates; Cebidae.
GUAUUAGGUUGGUGCAAAGGUAAUUGCUGUUUUUGCAUUACUUUUAAAAAGUGGCAAAACCGGCAAUUACUUUUGCACUAACCUAAUAU